RNAcentral lists this ribosomal RNA (429 nucleotides) under Gemmatimonadota bacterium. RNAcentral's name for it is "Gemmatimonadetes bacterium partial 16S ribosomal RNA". It matches the Rfam family "Bacterial small subunit ribosomal RNA", at positions 355 to 776 of the family's 1533-position model. Lineage: Bacteria; Pseudomonadati; Gemmatimonadota. The record is from RNAcentral.
UAGGGAAUCUUCGGCAAUGGACGAAAGUCUGACCGAGCAACGCCGCGUGAGUGAAGAAGGUUUUCGGAUCGUAAAACUCUGUUGUUAGAGAAGAACAAGGUCGUUAGUAACUGAACGUCCCCUGACGGUAUCUAACCAGAAAGCCACGGCUAACUACGUGCCAGCAGCCGCGGUAAUACGUAGGUGGCAAGCGUUGUCCGGAUUUAUUGGGCGUAAAGCGAGCGCAGGCGGUUUCUUAAGUCUGAUGUGAAAGCCCCCGGCUCAACCGGGGAUGGUCAUUGGAAACUGGGAGACUUGGGUGCAGAAGAGGAAGGUGGAAUUCCAUGUGUAGCGGUGAAAUGCGUAGAUAUAUGGAGGAACACCAGUGGCGAAGGCGGCUCUCUGGUCAGUAACUAACGCUGAGGCUCAAAAGCGUGGGCAGCAAACAGG